CAAUAGCGUAUAUUAAAGUUGUUGCAGUUAAAAAGCUCGUAGUUGGACCUUGGACCUGGACAGGCGGUCCGCCUCACGGCGAGUACUGUCUUGCUGGGUCUUUCCUCUUGGUGAUCUGUUGUUUCGGCAGCAGGGAACCAGGACCUUUACUUUGAAAAAAUUAGAGUGUUCAAAGCAGGCUCGACGCCGGAAUAUAUUAGCAUGGAAUAAUAAAAUAGGACGUGCGGUUCUAUUUUGUUGGUUUUUGGAAUCGCCGUAAUGAUUAAUAGGGACAGUCGGGGGCAUUAGUACUCACAUGCUAGAGGUGAAAUUCUUGGAUUUUGUGAAGACUAACUUCUGCGAAAGCAUUUGCCAAGGAUGUUUUCAUUAA
Molecule: ribosomal RNA, 370 nt
Filed under: uncultured eukaryote
Lineage: Eukaryota
Description: partial 18S ribosomal RNA
Rfam family: Eukaryotic small subunit ribosomal RNA
Source: RNAcentral